Molecule: ribosomal RNA, 328 nt
Filed under: uncultured eukaryote
Lineage: Eukaryota
Description: partial 18S ribosomal RNA
Rfam family: Eukaryotic small subunit ribosomal RNA
Source: RNAcentral
CCCUUAGAUGUUCUGGGCUGCACACGCGCUACACUGAAGGGAUCAGCGUGUUCUUUUCCUGGUCCGAAAGGAUCGGGUAACCCGCUGAACCCCCUUCGUGGUAGGGAUCGGAGCUUGCAAUUAUUCUCCGUGAGCCAGGAAUUCCCAGUAAGCGCAAGUCAUAAGCUUGCGUUGAUUACGUCCCUGCCCUUUGUACACACCGCCCGUCGCUACUACCGAUUGGACGUUUUAGUGAGGAUUUUGGACUGAGCCAAUGGUGGUUCACACCACUGUUGUGCAUGGAAAGAUCUCCAAACUUGAGCGUUUAGAGGAAGUAAAAGUCGUAACA